RNAcentral lists this long non-coding RNA (462 nucleotides) under Rosa chinensis. RNAcentral's name for it is "sRNA RchiOBHm_Chr6g0300371". The record is from RNAcentral. Lineage: Eukaryota; Viridiplantae; Streptophyta; Magnoliopsida; Rosales; Rosaceae.
CCUCACAGCUGCAUCAGGCGCCGACGGCGGUGCUGCUCUUGCCAAAUAGAGAUUAUGGGUAUCUCGGAUGGCGUCACUAUGAAGAUGAAGCCCACGGCGAUCGAGGUCUAAAGAUUGGGCGGCGAGCCCUUACUCACCAUCAAGGUCAGCUGUAAACUAGCUCGUAGCCGACGAGUCCACCGGCAAGAAGAAGCUCAAGGUCGAAGCUUGGUCUCUAUCAGGCAAGAGUAUCGCAGCCGUCGGCGCUUAAUUGAAGCGAGAGGAUGGACGACGGCACCUAAUCCGCACCUAUACAAAAUCAUAGUAUCAUAUAUAGGCCGGCUAACUAUCAAUCUGUGUUAGAUAGCUAUGAACAUCAAAACUUCAGGAGGCCUAGGGUCAUAACUCUUUCAUUAGAUUUAGAAAGAUGUUGUAGUUUCAACUGAGCAAUCAGUCACAGUCAAUACUAGACUAAGCUAUUAA